ACGAACGCUGGCGGCGUGCCUAAUACAUGCAAGUAGAACGCUUAAGAGAGGAGCUUGCUCUUCUUGGAUGAGUUGCGAACGGGUGAGUAACGCGUAGGUAACCUGCCUUGUAGCGGGGGAUAACUAUUGGAAACGAUAGCUAAUACCGCAUAACAAUGGAUGACCCAUGUCAUUUAUUUGAAAGUGGCAAUUGCUCCACUACAAGAUGGACCUGCGUUGUAUUAGCUAGUAGGUGAGGUAAUGGCUCACCUAGGCGACGAUACAUAGCCGACCUGAGAGGGUGAUCGGCCACACUGGGACUGAGACACGGCCCAGACUCCUACGGGAGGCAGCAGUAGGGAAUCUUCGGCAAUGGGGGCAACCCUGACCGAGCAACGCCGCGUGAGUGAAGAAGGUUUUCGGAUCGUAAAGCUCUGUUGUAAGUCAAGAACGGGUGUGAGAGUGGAAAGUUCACACUGUGACGGUAGCUUACCAGAAAGGGACGGCUAACUACGUG
RNAcentral lists this ribosomal RNA (496 nucleotides) under uncultured bacterium. RNAcentral describes it as "partial 16S ribosomal RNA". It matches the Rfam family "Bacterial small subunit ribosomal RNA", at positions 29 to 507 of the family's 1533-position model. The record is from RNAcentral.